UGCACAGACAACCAGGAUGUUGGCUUAGAAGCAGCCACUCAUUCAAAGAGUGCGUAAUAGCUCACUGGUCGAGUGAUCCUGCGCCGAAGAUUUCCGGGGCUAAAACGUACUACCGAAGCUACGGCAUAAGUAAUGAUGGGUAGGGGAGCUUCCCAUACGGGUUGAAGCAUGACCGUAAGGACAUGUGGACAGUAUGGGAGUGAGAAUGUUGGCAUGAGUAGCGAGAUGUGGGUG
RNAcentral lists this ribosomal RNA (234 nucleotides) under Clostridioides difficile. RNAcentral's name for it is "partial 23S ribosomal RNA". It matches the Rfam family "Bacterial large subunit ribosomal RNA", at positions 1082 to 1323 of the family's 2925-position model. The record is from RNAcentral. Lineage: Bacteria; Bacillati; Bacillota; Clostridia; Peptostreptococcales; Peptostreptococcaceae.